Long non-coding RNA from Heterocephalus glaber (naked mole-rat), 1156 nucleotides. The record is from Ensembl. Lineage: Eukaryota; Metazoa; Chordata; Mammalia; Rodentia; Bathyergidae.
ACAGAAUCAUAAUGCCCACCUUAUGGGAGUCUCAGACAGAUAAAUGAUAUGAAAUUCAAAAGGGUACAGCAGGUAGGGCCAAGGGUGUCAGGUGGGUGUGAGGGUGCGGGUAGAGAAUCAGGCAGAGCCCUGCUGGAGAGGUGGACAUCAAGUGCAGAGUUGAGUUGUCUAGGAGCUACCCUAGAAGCUCUGUGGAGGCUGUGCCAGGUGAUCUGUCUAUUUCAUGUGUGUUUGAGGAAUAGUAAGGAGGCCAGCAGGGCUGGAGCAGGGACAAUUACCAGGAAGACAGAGUAAGGGUGGCAGGAUCUAACACUCUGCUUGCUAGGGUAAGCAAAGUGCUGGAGGGGCACAAAAGUGAAGUAGGAUGACCUGUUAUAGAGUAUAGUGGAAAGCAAGAACAUCUCACAGAUAUGGUAGCCACUGGUGGUCACCUUCUGUGUAACUGAAGGCAGACCCAGCAUGCAAUCCUAGGGCACAGGGUAUGAGACAUGAGAAAGAACAGUCGUGGAUGGUGAAGGCUUUAUGUGUGAGCAGUUGGAAGAUGGCAUCUUUAUCAGCUGCCCAAGAGACAGGACCUCAGCUGACCCUGCUGAGCUCACAUUCAGCCCCACUGCUAGGUGGAGCCACAUCUGUGGAUGGUGCUGCAGACCAUCAGUUACAGCCAGGGAGGAAGAGAAAGAAAGGAAAGGAGUGUCUCAGGUGCACUCUGAAGUUCACAGCAGGGCACCCCUUACCUCCAUAAAUGCACCAGAGUGAGGUGAGAGGAACUCUGAAAGAAAAAGGACAUCUUUUCUUUCCUGUGACAAGUAAGUAUUCCAGGGCAGAAGAAGCUACAUGCAGGUUCCCUACUGGGAACAUUUUUGGGACCUUGCCUUGUGCUAAGGAAAUGUGCGACCAGCCUUUAUCAUACCUAACUGGCCAUGGUGAAAGAUACCAGAGAGAGCAAGGAAUGCUCCUGACAGCCCCACCUUGCGGUCAGAGGUGGCAGCUCUGCACUCCCAUCUGCAAAGCGACUGCCAACAAGUAGGGCUGGGACAGUUCCAGGUAGGACGUGUAAUGGGGCUGCAAACAAGCAUGAGCUCCUUGUUUCUCAGUUUUUCUCCUCUCUCUGGCCUGUUACCAGCUCCCUUGCUAACUUCCUCUGAGUGCCUGUGCG